Molecule: long non-coding RNA, 2088 nt
Organism: Tripterygium wilfordii
Lineage: Eukaryota; Viridiplantae; Streptophyta; Magnoliopsida; Celastrales; Celastraceae
Exons: 2
Source: RefSeq, a predicted model, not a curated record
UAACAUUCUGUAAUUUUGCCGUCAGUUUUCUAUCCCAAGAAAUGGCGCAGAGGGAGAGAAACGAAGAAGAGACGCUCUCUCUCGCAGAUCGGCACUGCCGAUGGCGUCGAGUUGUCCGAAGGAUUCUUUGACAUCGAUCGUACUUGACAAGACUCCACAAUGUUUACAAACGAUCAUAGCUGCAACGAGAAACGCAGAUGCGAUCCGUCCACGAGAUCGAUGUCUCGCAAAACCCUAAUAUCUGUCGCGCGGCGAUCUGAGGAGAAGUCUCAUCGAUCAGAUCGACGUCGCGAAAAACCUUGACCUAGUCUGUUUGUUUCUAUCUUCUACACGAAGAAAACGAAAAGUGAAAGAAACGCUCUCAGCAGAUCGACACUGCCGAUGCCGUCCUCUAGUUCUCCGAAGGAGUCUUUGGCAUCGGUGCUUGACAAGACUCUCUCAUUGUUUAAAAAUGACGACAACUGCAAGGAGAAACGCACCUGCGAUCCAUCUACGAGACCGACUUCGCGCAAAACCCUAAUUUCUGUCUCUGAGGCGCGAAAAUCUGAGGAGAAAUCUCAUCGAUCAGUCACACGUUGACGUCUUCAAGGACGAAGCCUCCCUCCCUCGUGUUCAAACGUUUGAAGGUACUUUUCUCUAUAUAAUUGCAUAUCAAGCAGUUGCAAUAUUAAGUAUAAUCUUCCGAGAACUUGUGUGACUUUGCAUGAUUUUUUUGUUAUGUCUCUGUGUUUGGUUGCUAUGAAAACAGAGGAAAGGACUGAGAAAAUUGACGUUUGCCAGCAACCUAACAUGAAUGAGAAGUAUUUGAAAUCUAUACAUUUUGAAAGCUGCGCUAUAUAGCUCGUUACUUUCCUUAGGGUUUCUUGCAAGCCAAACAGACUAUUCUAGCCCUCAAAAAUUACGUGUUAUUCAAUCUUUGUCAACCUUAUGCUAUUUCAUGUAAUAUAUUACCUUAUCAAUCAUAAUCAAUCUGCUAAUUAAUAUCAAACGAUUAUCAUCCGCCUUUUGUUUGAUAUUCUAAAUUACAUAUGGCUGCCUUCUAUAGGGUGCUUAACUUCUUAAACAUAGUCUUGAUGUGUAUUUUGCGCCUCUGUGAGGCUUGAAAGCUACUGGGCAUAAUCACAAGAAGUUUAGGUUUAAAAAUUUGAUCAAGAGGAUUUAUAUUACAUAGAAUAAGGAAAGUUUUAUUUGGUAUUCCUAGUUUUGGCUCUCUGCCACCAUAACAAAGAGUACUUUGAUCCUUUUCAUCAUAAUGUGCUUCUUUUAGAUUCCUCCUGCUGCUUAGUUUCACUAGCACAUACUUUUGGUGUCCUAAAAAAAUAAUAGUGAUGACCGUAAAUUGAAGAUGCUGGCAUGCUAGAACUUGAUAGUUUGUUGAAGUGUUUGAAAAGAUGAGAGAGCUUUGAAAGACAACUCAGGAAGCGAUGAAGUGUGCAAAAUAUCCAUUUAAUGGCUGCUUUUGAAGGCUUUUAAGAAGGAAAUUGAUGGUUCCAGGUAGCAUAACUUCAUCAACUAUGGGUAAGAGAAAUUUCUUAGUAAGUGCUUUCUCUGCUUGAUGCGCUGUUUUGAAACGCUCAAAUUAUAAUGUGUACAUGUGAUAUGUCAUGAUGUUAAAAGGUGUUGAUUUAUUUUAUUACCACUCUCAUGUUCCUCGGGACUUUUACCCAAAAACUAUGUACAUGAAUCUAGCUUGGGAAAAGAAAAACUAACAAAUAUUACUAUAAAUAGUAUUUGAUUGCUGAUAAGGCAUCCUUGUUGAGAAAAUGAAGAGAAAUUGCUAGCAUAUGGCUGUUAGUAAGCUGAGAAGUGAACUUUGGUGCUAGUGACAGACUACCCACACACCUAAUCUCACUUUCCCUGGCCCAUCCAUCUGCCAGAAGCCAACCCACUGGUGUCUUCAAGGUUUUUUCUCAUGCCUGUGUUUUGAAACAAUGAUGCACAUGACAAAUGAAUAAGUUUUACAAAUGUACCAGUGAUAUAAAAUACAUACACCCUUAUCUCUUCCCAAGCUUGGUUUUCAGCAUAUGGCUCGUUGCUUCCUCAAAUUCACUUAUUUAGGUAUUUUUAUGCGGUGUACACUUCCUGACA